UCAGCGGCCGGGGCUGCUGCGGGUCCGCCGCUCUAGAAGCGUCCGAGGCCCGGCUCAGCCCGGAGUCCGACGUGAGCCCGGCGGCCAGGAGCCGCCGCGGUGGCAUUCCCCCUCCUCCGGCCGUUUGAACCCGUGACCCCCUCCGCAUCGCUCCGGCUCCCCUGCACGCCCUGUCUGGAGCCGCCCUUCAGGACGUGGGGCCAAGGAGGCCGCCUGAGCGAGCCGGCGCUGUCCCCGUUCUCUGGGCGCCUCACUCCCUUCGCGCCCCUCCGGGUCCCCAUAGACGACCCGCUCAACCCUCCUCGGGUUUUCUGCGGUUGCCUGCAGCCGGGAGGAGCAAGUGCAUGGGCUCCGGGCUCCCUCUCACCGGUUGUGGGGGUGAACGAGCCAGGACUGAUGUGGAAUGCCUGGAGGCGGUGGAGUACAAGAAUUUUAUGCUGAUCAUAAACCUGAAUCCCAAGUGCUGUGAACAAGCUGAACCAACAUCAAACAUAGAAUAAGAAAUUUUCUCUCGUCUGGAAUAUCUGUCACAAAACAAAGAUCAAAUUUAUUGAAUAAGAAAGAAACCUCUGGAACUCUUAGUAUAUCCCUGUCACAGAAGAAUAAUUCAUUGUUUAUUAUGUGGUUUCUCUUUACAUUUUAAAAACAUGUAAAAAGUGUUAUGAAAAUACAAAAUAAC
Camelus dromedarius (Arabian camel) is the source of this 679-nucleotide long non-coding RNA. RefSeq lists it as uncharacterized. The record is from RefSeq and is a predicted model, not a curated record. The transcript has 4 exons. Lineage: Eukaryota; Metazoa; Chordata; Mammalia; Artiodactyla; Camelidae.